ACGCAUCCUUUGCUGAGGAUACGGUUAACGGAGCGAAAGCGACGUUCAACCUCAAAAGAAGCAGAGGGGGCUUAGUGGUGGGGUGACUGCGUACCUUUUGUAUAAUGGGUCAGCGACUUAUAUUCUGUAGCAAGGUUAACCGAAUAGGGGAGCCGGAGGGAAACCGAGUCUUAAUUGGGCGUUAAGUUGCAGGGUAUAGACCCGAAACCCGGUGAUCUAGCCAUGGGCAGGUUGAAGGUUGGGUAACACUAACUGGAGGACCGAACCGACUAAUGUUGAAAAAUUAGCGGAUGACCUGUGGCUGGGGGUGAAAGGCCAAUCAAACCGGGAGAUAGCUGGUUCUCCCCGAAAGCUAUUUAGGUAGCGCCUCGUGAAUUCAUCUCCGGGGGUAGAGCACUGUUUCGGCUAGGGGGCCAUCCCGGCUUACCAACCCGAUGCAAACUGCGAAUACCGGAGAAUGUUAUCACGGGAGACACACGGCGGGUGCUAACGUCCGUCGUGAAGAGGGAAACAACCCAGACCGCCAGCUAAGGUCCCAAAGUCAUGGUUAAGUGGGAAACGAUGUGGGAAGGCCCAGACAGCCAGGAUGUUGGCUUAGAAGCAGCCAUCAUUUAAAGAAAGCGUAAUAGCUCACUGGUCGAGUCGGCCUGCGCGGAAGAUGUAACGGGGCUAAACCAU
RNAcentral lists this ribosomal RNA (678 nucleotides) under Salmonella enterica subsp. enterica serovar Havana. RNAcentral describes it as "partial 23S ribosomal RNA". It matches the Rfam family "Bacterial large subunit ribosomal RNA", at positions 568 to 1190 of the family's 2925-position model. The record is from RNAcentral. Lineage: Bacteria; Pseudomonadati; Pseudomonadota; Gammaproteobacteria; Enterobacterales; Enterobacteriaceae.